Molecule: ribosomal RNA, 429 nt
Filed under: Bacteroidota bacterium
Lineage: Bacteria; Pseudomonadati; Bacteroidota
Description: Bacteroidetes bacterium partial 16S ribosomal RNA
Rfam family: Bacterial small subunit ribosomal RNA
Source: RNAcentral
UAGGGAAUCUUCCGCAAUGGACGCAAGUCUGACGGAGCAACGCCGCGUGAGUGAAGAAGGAUUUCGGUUCGUAAAACUCUGUUGUUAGAGAAGAACAGCGCAUAGAGUAACUGUUAUGCGUGUGACGGUAUCUAACCAGAAAGCCACGGCUAACUACGUGCCAGCAGCCGCGGUAAUACGUAGGUGGCAAGCGUUGUCCGGAUUUAUUGGGCGUAAAGCGAGCGCAGGCGGUCAAUUAAGUCUGAUGUGAAAGCCCCCGGCUCAACCGGGGAGGGUCAUUGGAAACUGGUUGACUUGAGUGCAGAAGAGGGGAGUGGAAUUCCAUGUGUAGCGGUGAAAUGCGUAGGUAUAUGGAGGAACCCCAGUGGCGAAGGCGACUCUCUGGUCUGUAACUGACGCUGAGGUUCGAAAGCGUGGGUAGCAAACAGG